UCAAAGUGGCUUUGAAUGUGUCUGUUUGUGACAGCAUAUAUUGUUUUCUCUUCUUUUGAGUUACGUCUUUAAGUGAUUUUCAUGACUAAAAUACACUUACAGUUUAGUGGUGUUUAAUGAUGUGCAGAUCAGGGACGGAUACCUGUUGGAUGCACAAUACUAACUGUGGAUUCUGUAUACUGCGAUAUUUAUUUACAAGAAUUCACACACACACACACACACACACACAUUCUUAGUAACUGGAUGCAAAUACAACCUACUUUAUUUGUUGCUUAACCCAUAAAUAUUAAAAACAUUAACAUA
This is a long non-coding RNA of Homalodisca vitripennis (glassy-winged sharpshooter), 303 nucleotides long. RefSeq lists it as uncharacterized. The transcript has 2 exons. The record is from RefSeq and is a predicted model, not a curated record. Lineage: Eukaryota; Metazoa; Arthropoda; Insecta; Hemiptera; Cicadellidae.